This 383-nucleotide ribosomal RNA is filed under the name uncultured eukaryote. RNAcentral describes it as "partial 18S ribosomal RNA". It matches the Rfam family "Eukaryotic small subunit ribosomal RNA", at positions 592 to 976 of the family's 1831-position model. The record is from RNAcentral.
CAAUAGCGUAUAUUAAAGUUGUUGCAGUUAAAAAGCUCGUAGUUGGAUUUCUGGUGGGAGCGAUCGGUCUGGCGCUUAGUGCGAGUACUUGCAUCGUCUCCGGCCAUCCUUGGGGAGAGUCUGUCUGGCAUUAGGUUGUCGGGCAGAGGAUCCUCAUCGUUUACUGUGAAAAAAUUAGAGUGUUCAAAGCAGGCUUAUGCCGUUGAAUAUAUUAGCAUGGAAUAAUAAGAUAGGACUUUGGUACUAUUUUGUUGGUUUGCGCACCAAAGUAAUGAUUAAUAGGGACAGUUGGGGGUAUUCGUAUUCCGUUGUCAGAGGUGAAAUUCUUGGAUUUACGGAAGACGAACUACUGCGAAAGCAUUUACCAAGGAUGUUUUCAUUAA